This is a non-coding RNA of Arvicanthis niloticus (Nile rat), 1675 nucleotides long. The record is from RefSeq and is a predicted model, not a curated record. NCBI's taxonomy places the organism in Eukaryota, Metazoa, Chordata, Mammalia, Rodentia, Muridae.
AGCAACACGAAGGAGAGACUUCAAAGCCAGUGUCUCCAGCCCUGCUCUUGAACUAAACACCCAGAAAGCUCAGCUGAUGAGCUCUGGCAUUCAUCCAGAGACAGCCCUGGCCAGCUUGAGGUCUCUCCCAGGACAGUGGAUCAUGCUCACAGUGGACAGGAAGGAAUAGGUUGGUUGGUGCAAGGGGCCAGUUUGGGUCUUUCUGCAUGACCCUGCAAUUGUGCUGGUCCUGUGAGUUUCAAGAAGAGUCAAGGGCCCCAGGCAGAGCCUACGAAUAAAGAUGGCUAAACACUCCUCGAUCUGUGAAGCCACUUGGCCACGCAGCCUCUGGUGCAGAUAGUCUCCCAGCAACAGCUGAGAGACCCCGGGGACACUUGCUAAGUUACCACGCUGUUUAUGUUGAGCCGCGUGGCCUUUGCAGCCAGGGCUGCUUGAUGCUGUUAGAACUUCUAGAGGUCUGAACCCAGGAAGGUCGCCUGGCAGGGAAACAAGGCCUGGCCUUGCAACACACUCAGAAUGCCUGGAAGCUGAUGAGCAGAGAUCAGGACUUGCCUGCUGUUUCUGAAGCACUCUGACGUGAAACCAUCGAAACAGAUGCGUCUGGAACUCUGUGUGUCUCCUCCUGGGAUUAUCCUCGCCAGGAAACAAGUAAGACAGAUGGGAUUCUAAAGUGGUGUCUGUCUCUUGCCUCCAGUCUUCAGUUCUCAGCCCCUGGGGGCAGGAGCUGCUGGCCCCAACCCACAUGGGGACCUGCUUCCUUACAACUCUUCCCUGAGGCUCUCUGCUGCAUCCUGCCUGUCCCCAGGUGCACAAUCAGACAGGAAACCACAAACACUCCUAGGAUGUUGAGGAUGAACGAAGAAGGCAGCAAGAGCAUCUCUGUGAGCUCAGGCUGGGGCUCACCAUCUCCUGCUCCACAGCUCCGGAGGCCACGCAUCUGUCAGUAAUUUUGCCUUCAUAAAUAGCUGUGCUUCCAUUUGCUUGAAAGGCUGCCUGUGUGGGUGGAUGGCCCCAGGCUUCCCAUACCCUUCACACCAAUUUCCUCCUGAAAUGGUGCAGGACACCUGAACUUUACCAAAUAAAUACAGUCUAUGUUCCUGGAGAGCCAGGAGUGGAAGGGGGACCCUGGAUCGUCUGCUCCAAAAAGCAGACCUACACCGUCCCAGGCGACUGUGUUGCCUCCUCCUCUGUCUACCCUUCCCUUCUAGGAGGCCACUAGUAUGGGAGGUCCCCUACCCCAUAGGCUGGUAGCAUGUCACAACCGUACCCUCUAUUAGCUUUGUGUCUGCCAGUAUUUUGAGAGACAUGGUGGGACUAGAGUGCCUGGGGCCAGGCUGAGAUUGUGGCUGCUACUUUUGGGUCUUCCUUGGGCCACCAGUCCUGGGACAGUGGUAAGGCAUGCCCCCACCCCCACUGGUGGCAGGAGGAAGCCAUUCAUCAUCCUGGAGAUCUGGCUGCUGGUAUGUUUAUCUGCAGGAAGGAAAUGAAGUCUUUUCAUCUCUUCCCAGCGGCGUCUGGCCCACUCACUCUCCAAUCUGUCAACCAGGGGAAUUUUAAAUAAUGUGCCGCUCUCUGUCCGUACCUGGUUUUUGUCUUCGGAGUUCUGUGUGCCUCACUCCCUGGGUGUCUCUCAUUAUUGCUGCUUCCUCCUUGAGAUAAAUUCCAUCAUACGUUU